This 208-nucleotide long non-coding RNA is filed under the name Vitis vinifera (wine grape). RNAcentral's name for it is "long non-coding RNA (VVIN_LNC005164)". Lineage: Eukaryota; Viridiplantae; Streptophyta; Magnoliopsida; Vitales; Vitaceae. The record is from RNAcentral.
ACGGACUCUGUUCAUCAUCUCCUCCACCUUGUUUCCGCACAUCAUUGUUUGUUUUUGUGCAUGAACGUUGAACCAUCAGGUUUGGUUUUCAUUGAUCUCUGGUUUAAUUGUGGAUUUGUUGUUAUUGUUGAAUCAUUUUCUUCUCCUUGGCUUUACUGAAGAGUAUUUUGGCUCUGUUUUAACUCCACUGUAUGCUCCUCUGUUUUUG